Long non-coding RNA from Olea europaea var. sylvestris, 505 nucleotides. RefSeq lists it as uncharacterized. The transcript is spliced from 2 exons. Lineage: Eukaryota; Viridiplantae; Streptophyta; Magnoliopsida; Lamiales; Oleaceae. The record is from RefSeq and is a predicted model, not a curated record.
CAGAAAAACCGGAUUGGGCUUUCAUGGAAGAGAAAAAAAGCCAGAUAGCAUUUUUGUUCGGUGAUGAUGAUCACUGGGGUCCAUUGCAUUUAGAUGAAGAGAUUCGCAAGCAGAUCCCUAACGCUCCUGUGGCAGCUGAACGCGAGGGUAAUACUCAUGCUUUCUCUUGCUAAGAUACUGGAUCAUUGUGGGUUGCUCAGCAUGUGGUGAGCUUGAUCAAGAAUUGUAUAUCAAAUUCAAAUUUAUGAAGGCUACAGAAAUAGUCCAAUGACAUCUGCACUAAGCAAUACUGGAAGGAUUACGAGAACUGGUUCACAAUUAUUCUGAAGGACUGUAUUUCUCUUUAUGGUAUGUUUGGUAAAGCGAACUAGACAUCAUCAGACAGUAUUAAACAAAGAAAAAAGCUCAAAUUUUAUCAAUUGUAUUAUCUAGUCGUGUCUUGUAUUGCAUGGCAUGACCUGAGUGUAGCUAGGAUUUAAAUUACCGUGCAGUUCUUUUUUUCCAA